This is a non-coding RNA of Manis javanica (Malayan pangolin), 171 nucleotides long. Lineage: Eukaryota; Metazoa; Chordata; Mammalia; Pholidota; Manidae. The record is from RefSeq and is a predicted model, not a curated record.
UGUGUUUUUUUUUUUGUUCUUCCUUAGCAUAAAGAAAUCACCAGGAAAGUUGAAAGAAGUUAGUUUGCUGCAAAAGAAAAAUGAAGAAUGUGAAAAAGGAAGCAACUCCAAGAAAGCUCAAGUGCAGAAAGUACAAUCUGUUGGCCAGAAUAAAAGCUACUUAGCUCUAAG